AUUGAACGCUGGCGGAAUGCUUUACACAUGCAAGUCGAACGGCAGCACGGACUUCGGUCUGGUGGCGAGUGGCGAACGGGUGAGUAAUGUAUCGGAACGUGCCCAGUCGUGGGGGAUAACGUAGUGAAAAUUACGCUAAUACCGCAUACGAUCUAUGGAUGAAAGCGGGGGAUCGCAAGACCUCGCGCGAUUGGAGCGGCCGAUAUCAGAUUAGGUAGUUGGUGGGGUAAAGGCCCACCAAGCCAACGAUCUGUAGCUGGUCUGAGAGGACGACCAGCCACACUGGAACUGAGACACGGUCCAGACUCCUACGGGAGGCAGCAGUGGGGAAUUUUGGACAAUGGGCUAAAGCCUGAUCCAGACAUUCCGCGUGCAGGAUGAAGGCCCUCGGGUUGUAAACUGCUUUUGUACAGAACGAAAAGGUUUCUACUAAUACUAGGAGCUCAUGACGGUACUGUAAGAAUAAGCACCGGCUAACUACGUGCCAGCAGCCGCCGCGG
Molecule: ribosomal RNA, 500 nt
Filed under: uncultured bacterium
Lineage: Bacteria
Description: partial 16S ribosomal RNA
Rfam family: Bacterial small subunit ribosomal RNA
Source: RNAcentral